UGGGGGCCCCUCUUCCCGAGAAGGUAUUAUCCUGAGUUUGAGGUCUAUCAGUGCUGAGGCAAGGUAAGUUUACCAUGGGACAAGCAUUUAGUAAGCAGGAUUUAUUUAUUUCAGGACUUAAACAGUCUCUCAAGACACGAGGAACAAGGGUAAAAGGGAAAGAUUUAAAAAAGUUUCUUGAUUAUAUUGGGGACCUUUGUCCCU
Molecule: regulatory RNA element, 204 nt
Organism: Neotoma lepida (desert woodrat)
Lineage: Eukaryota; Metazoa; Chordata; Mammalia; Rodentia; Cricetidae
Rfam family: Mason-Pfizer monkey virus packaging signal
About the family: The packaging signal is located in the 5' UTR and is required for specific RNA encapsidation.
Source: Rfam